Long non-coding RNA from Oxyura jamaicensis (ruddy duck), 3776 nucleotides. RefSeq lists it as uncharacterized. The transcript has 3 exons. The record is from RefSeq and is a predicted model, not a curated record. NCBI's taxonomy places the organism in Eukaryota, Metazoa, Chordata, Aves, Anseriformes, Anatidae.
UCAGUGACAGCAGAUUAUGUUUCCAGGCUGGUACCUGUCUGUUCAGCAAAGCUUCAGUUUUGAACUGGGAGAAGAAAUCCUGAAAAACAUAGCCCCGAGAAUGAUGCCUUGGAGACCUUCAGAACAGAACAUAGUGAGGUGGGAGAAGGGUAAAAAGAGCUCCUUUCAUUGCCCUGUGAAGAAUGGAGAGCAGGAGGCAAAGAAACUAAGAGAUACAGUAUAUAGCUGAUGGGAAAGUUUUCCUGAAAUGUCAGCCUGUAAUGUAUCUCAUUCUCUUUGUAGCUCACUAGGACUUUGCCUUCAAAUCUAUGUAUGCCCAAAGAACUAAAACACAAUCCAAAAUUGUCUAUGCAAAACAAAUUCUUCUUGAAAGUUUGUUUAAAUAACAAAGAAGUCUGAAGAGUCAACAAUAGGCACAGGAGUCAGUUUGCUGAACUGUAUGUUCAGUUUCAAAAGGGAGCAUUACUUUGCACCUCACAAUAGAAACACAAGUGAAGGACCUGGAGUCUCUUCAGACUACAGAAACCUAACACAUACCAGGCCCAGGGGACUGGGAGCAAACAGCACAGUCUGAAACUAUGUCAUGAGAGGGCUCAAGGCACAAUGUUGGCUGCCAGUUCUUUCCUAUAGAAGAACAAUUUGACAUGGAGAACACAAACAAACUUCUCACAGACUUUCCCACCUUCUCCUGCACUUCAAAUAAUGCAAGCUUUUCAUGUUGUUUACUCAGAAAAAUGUAGCCGAGAUCCAGCAGGUGGUUUUCCACAGCUUCACACAGGAGAGGUGUCGCAGCUCUGAGAACUAAAAGUGGAACGAUCUUGUUCUGUGGCAGCAGAGUGAUGUGUCUUCUGACUGAAGGAAACAUGGUGAUGAUCAGCAAUCCUGAUCCAAAGUAGCUCACACACACUUCUCCACACUUAGUACUUAUUAGUACACAAUUUGGCAGGUUUGGAUAAUUUCCUUUGCUCCCCUCUUCGGCCUCACCCUUUCCAUCUAAGACCACAAUUUUCAGGACAUUAGCUUGAAAGACUCUAUUGUAGACCUAACAUUUACAGCAACCCUUGUGGUGUAUCUAGACAAGACAGCCCUCCCUUCAGAAUCUGUAAUCUCUCACUUCAGACCUUACAUUUGAAGCCCUUGAUUCACUGUGGUUUAAAAAAAAAAAAAACUUAAGCAAAAUGAAUUCUUUGGCAAUAUGGAAACCCACAGGCUUGUGGGCCUUUUGAUUGGCUUAACUGAUGCCUCUGAAAAGAGAGGCCUUCUCCUGCCGUAAUAGGCAUGUACCUGAAAUAGCAGACAGGGUGGACAUUGACCAUCUCCUCACAUUUCAGGAGGAAUUUAACCAAAAGAAACAUCAUCCAAGAGACAUUGUUUUCAAAGGUGUAGAAUAAGUCACUGUAUCUCCUUGAAUACCACUGUUAAAAAGGGAAGGCAUCAGACAAGAAGAGCUUUCUUUUUGGGCCUUCUGGCUUCAGGAGAAACUGCUCCAAAGUGUCUGGGGCCAACACUUUGACAGUCAUGUCAAGACAGUCAUGGGAGAGUCAGAACCUAGUGGGAACAUUAAGGCCUUCCAUAUUUCCAGAUAAAUGGUUGCUUUACUGCAAUUUUACCUCGAAGUGCCUUCUUUGCUAAGCAGAAAUCAGAUUCCCCUGAAGUCAUUACGGGGAAUGCUAAAUGACUUCAUGUACAGAGGAUAUAGCAAGGGAAAAUCCAGUUCCUUUCUCAACGAGCAGGAGUGCAGAUUCCUUCUUGAAAUUUCUGCUGUUCUCCUUCAUGAACCCUUUCUACAGCAUAGGACAAACAAUGAACUUAUUGUUUCACCCUGGAAUGGUAUUUUCAAAAUUAGCUUGAGGUGGAUGUUGUGAAGAUCUAAAACACAAGUUUUAUAUUUCACAUAAAAUAAUAGAUACACGGGAGACAGUUUCAGAUGCCUUAGAGAUUUCAGUUCUCCAGUGCUAUGCCAACACGGAAAAAUUAAAGUCCAAAUAUCUACUACAUAGUAGGAUUUGUACCAUUCCUUAUGGGAAUACCCUGAUCUUUGUUUUUGUUUGUGCUCUUUGCAAAUGCUGACAACAGUCUCCAGAAAGUUGUUCAGUAAAACACUGUGCAGCUGAUGCAUCUUUCCUGUCUUGUUUUGCGGUAGAUAGUGGGAAAAAAACUCACACGUUAAUUAGGAAAUGUAUCUGAGAAGGUCAAGAUAAUAUCAACAACUGAAAAAAGUGACAUCUUUUAAGAACAUAGCAUAUGACAAAGAAGAAUGAUUCAAACUAAGCUGAUUAGUAACUGUUACGGUAAAUCACAGUGACUUCCAAUAGCAAAGAAAACAAGCAUUCAGGGCAUUCAGCAACGAACUUAAAUGAGAUGCAGUUACAGCGAGCCUCCUCUUCUUAUUCCCUAGUUUAGAUACAGCCCCAGUGGAUUUGCUGACCAUUAGGCAAGCAGCCAAAUGAGUCCUAUUUAUGUCCUUAUUACCACUCACAGAGAGUAAACUUUCCACCAUAACUAAUUUUAAAAGAGCACUCUUUCCUAGGUUCCUUUCAGGAACAGUGUGCUUUAAAUAAGGUAGAGGAGUUUCAAAGUAAUUUUUAAACCAUUUAUGUCAUUACCAUUAAAGGUAGAAAGUCUACCUUUAACCAAAAUUUAAAUGACUAUUUUUAUAACUUAAGGUACAUAUCUUCUCUAUCUUUUCUAAUUUAAUUUUGAAAUUAAUUCACCUUUUAAAAAAAAAAAGGAACUAAUGGAACUAAUGGAUCUAAUUUAAUGAAAAGAUGGUGAAUCUCUUGGAUCUCAGACUGCAUACACGGUACUUUGAGAAGUAUGGCAGAGAAGAAAGUGUGCCAUUUGUGCCAUGUUAGUGAUCAGUACCUGCUCACAAAGAGUCCAAUGAGCACUAGGACAAGGACAAGGAAGGGACAAAUAGAGCUUGGCUGUGAGCAGCUGGGUGGAAGGAGAGAUGACAGCAUCAGUGGGAAGAAGGAAGAGGGAUGGAAGGAAGGAAGAUAAAGCAAGACCUUCCCUGUUUGUAGACAGCAAGAUGUUAGAGCAAUUCAGUACUUAGGUUGUUUUAGUUGAAGUUGGACCAGCUAAGCUAUUACCAUUCCUGUUUUCUGUGCAGUUUAAUCAUCUUCUGUGUUUUCAUGUAGAAACAAGACAAACCAGAAUGUGUUAAUUAGAAAACACGUCUGAGAAAGAUAAGAUAAUGCGAACAACAAAAAAGUGACAUUUACUGAGACCAUCACUCAUCUCUCUGCUCCUCCCUCUCUCCUGCCAUGUACACUUAUGAGUGAGGUAAUCUUUCCUCAUAUAUUAGCUGGCAUAAUUUGCUUGUAUAGUUGUUUCUUUAGGUAGCUCAGUUCUUCUCCUUAUAGCAUAGUACUACUUUCAGAGCUUAUUUUUGGAAUAACAAAUUAAAAAAAAAAAAAAAAAUCUGUUAGAGUGUCUUAAAUAGUGAACUGAAAAGCAGAAGACUGGUUAAUAAAGCAAACAAGGCAAGUAUUGUAUAAUAUUACUAAAGAUCAGCAAAUACAGUAUGGGAAGAGAAGAGGAAAUAACCAAGUAAACCACAAGACUAUUAAACAAAUGUUGAUAGUAUACAGGGUUUAUAAAACACAGCAUAGGAAGGAAUAAUUAACACAUCAAGGAAAAUGUAUAUAUUUUUUUUUUAAAAAAAGUGAAGAGUAAGAAAAAUCCUGUUAUGGGAAGCAGACUGUAUGAGACCUAACUAGCUGCCUUUUUUCAAACAGAUACAAAACAGCUCUUUAUUUUUCUACUUUAAA